GACGAACGCUGGCGGCGCGCCUAACACAUGCAAGUCGAACGAGCGAGAGAGAGCUUGCUUUCUCAAGCGAGUGGCGAACGGGUGAGUAACGCGUGAGGAACCUGCCUCAAAGAGGGGGACAACAGUUGGAAACGACUGCUAAUACCGCAUAAGCCCACAGGUCGGCAUCGACCAGAGGGAAAAGGAGCAAUCCGCUUUGAGAUGGCCUCGCGUCCGAUUAGCUAGUUGGUGAGGUAACGGCCCACCAAGGCAACGAUCGGUAGCCGGACUGAGAGGUUGAACGGCCACAUUGGGACUGAGACACGGCCCAGACUCCUACGGGAGGCAGCAGUGGGGAAUAUUGCACAAUGGGGGAAACCCUGAUGCAGCGACGCCGCGUGGAGGAAGAAGGUCUUCGGAUUGUAAACUCCUGUUGUUGAGGAAGAUAAUGGCGGUACUCAACAAGGAAGUGACGGCUAACUACGUG
This 466-nucleotide ribosomal RNA is filed under the name uncultured bacterium. RNAcentral describes it as "partial 16S ribosomal RNA". It matches the Rfam family "Bacterial small subunit ribosomal RNA", at positions 28 to 507 of the family's 1533-position model. The record is from RNAcentral.